UACGAAGGGGGCUAGCGUUGUUCGGAAUUACUGGGCGUAAAGGGCGCGUAGGCGGUGUGUCAAGUCAGGCGUGAAAGCCCCGGGCUCAACCUGGGAACCGCGCUUGAAACUGGCACGCUAGAGUUCGGGAGAGGAUGGUGGAAUUCCCAGUGUAGAGGUGAAAUUCGUAGAUAUUGGGAAGAACACCGAUGGCGAAGGCAGCCAUCUGGACCGACACUGACGCUGAGGCGCGAAAGCGUGGGGAGCAAACAGG
RNAcentral lists this ribosomal RNA (253 nucleotides) under uncultured bacterium. RNAcentral describes it as "partial 16S ribosomal RNA". It matches the Rfam family "Bacterial small subunit ribosomal RNA", at positions 524 to 776 of the family's 1533-position model. The record is from RNAcentral.